CGGACGGUGACAGAGGAGCCUCGGGGGACUAGGGGGCGGGCCGGGUGUCCCGGAGCUUGGCCGAGCUGCAGCGCGGGACGCCUCAGAUGUCCAGGAAGUUGAUGGCCUAAUUCAGCAGAACCAAGAAAAUCACUGGAGACAUUUGUGACAAGUUGUAAUCACCAACAACAACACAUCAACUGAGAAAAGAAUAUUGGACCUUGCUAAGCAUCAGAGAACUCACAUGGAGAAACUCACAUGGAGAAGAGUGAGAAGUCACUCUUCAGCAAGAGUCACAGAAUUCACAAUGUUGAGAAACAGUAUGAAUGUGACAUAGGCAGAAAGACUUUCUAUGUUAUGUCACACCUCAGUAUGCAUCAGAAAAUCCACAGAGGUGAGAAGCUCUUUGCAUGUAAUGAGUGUGGAAAAUCCUAUUACUGGAAGUCACACUGGAGCAGACAUCAGAGCACUCAUACUGGUGAAAAGCCAUAUGAAUGUAAAGAAUGUGGAAAAGCUUUUAAACAGAAGUCACACCUCAGCAGGCUUCACAGUAUUCAUACAGGAUAGAAACCCUAUGAAUGUACAGAAUGUGGAAAAGCAUUUCCAUGGAAGUCAUGCCUCAGCUUGCAUCAGAGAAUUCAUACAGGUGAGAAACCCUAUGAAUGUAAAGAAUGUGGAAAAACUUUUAAAUAGAAGUCACACCUCAGCAGGCUUCACAGUAUUCAUACAGGAUAGAAACCCUAUGAAUGUACAGAAUGUGGAAAAGCAUUUCCAUGGAAGUCAUGCCUCAGCUUGCAUCAGAGAAUUCAUACAGGUGAGAAACCCUAUGAAUGUAAAGAAUGUGGAAAAACUUUUAAAUAGAAGUCACACCUCAGCAGGCAUCGCAGUAUUCAUACAGGAUAGAAACCCUAUGAAUGUACAGAAUGUGGAAAAGCAUUUCCAUGGAAGUCAUGCCUCAGCUGGCAUCAGAGAAUUCAUACAGGUGAGAAACCCUAUGAAUAUAAAGAAUGUGGAAAAGCUUUUAAACAGAAGUCACACCUCACCAGGCAUCAGAGUAUUCAUACAGGUGAGAAACCAUAUAAAUGUAAAGAAUCUAGGGAAACAUUCUGCAGCAAAUCACACCUCAGUGCACAUCACAGUAUUCACAGAGAUGAGAAUCUAUAUGAAUAUAAUAAAUGUGGACAAACCUUUCACCUGAAAUCACACUUUUGGGUGCAUCAGAGUCCUCACACAGGAGAAAAACCCUGUGAGUGGGGUGAAUGUGGAAAAACAUUUUGGAAGAUGUCAGCCCCCAUAGAGCAUCAGAGAAUUCACACAGGUGAAAGACCCUAUGAAUGUAAUGAAUGCGGUAAAGCUUUCUACAGAAAAUCACACCUCAGUGCACACCAGAGAAUGCAUACAGGUAAGAAACUCUAUGAAUGUAAAGAAUGUAGGAAAGCUUUCUACAAAAAGUCACAACUUAAUGCACACCAGAUAAUUCAUAUAGGUGAGAAAUCAUGAAUAUGAGCCGUGUACAAAAACUUUCUAUCAUAAAGCCGCUCUGACUACAUCAGAGAUUCACACUGGUGAGAAACCUUAUGAAUGUAAGGAAUGUGCUAUAACUUUCUAUAGUAAAUCAAAAUUAAGUGGAUGUCAGAUAGUUCACACAGGUGAGAAACCCUUUGAGUUUAAUG
This is a long non-coding RNA of Cynocephalus volans (Philippine flying lemur), 1652 nucleotides long. RefSeq lists it as uncharacterized. Lineage: Eukaryota; Metazoa; Chordata; Mammalia; Dermoptera; Cynocephalidae. The transcript is spliced from 3 exons. The record is from RefSeq and is a predicted model, not a curated record.